This 371-nucleotide ribosomal RNA is filed under the name uncultured Glomeromycotina. RNAcentral describes it as "LSU rRNA". The record is from RNAcentral. Lineage: Eukaryota; Fungi; Glomeromycota.
UUGAAAGGGAAACGAUUGAAGUCAGUCGUACCUGUGGGUAAUCAGCCUUUUGGGUGUGAUUAUGUGGAGUGCGAAGAGUUAAACGCCUUUAUGCCUGCAUAUUCGUGCACUUUGGGUGUAUUUACCCGUGUGGUAAGUUAACAUCAAUUUUGGUCGUCAUAGAAUGGCUGGAGGAAUGUAGCUUCGAUCUCGUAUUGAAGUGUUAUAGCCUUCGGUAGAUGUGGUGAUCGGGAUUGAGGAUUGCAACGAAUCCUUCGGGGCUACCUGUCUGAUCUCUGAUCGUUGCUCUGGUGCCGAAAGCUUGCUUACGGUUAUCAAAGUCGAUGGUCAAUAGGUUAGAACGGGUUAAAUUCGUUAAGGAUGUUGACGUA